This 403-nucleotide ribosomal RNA is filed under the name Cladosporium cladosporioides. Its description in RNAcentral is "SSU rRNA". It matches the Rfam family "Eukaryotic small subunit ribosomal RNA", at positions 732 to 1112 of the family's 1831-position model. The record is from RNAcentral. Lineage: Eukaryota; Fungi; Ascomycota; Dothideomycetes; Cladosporiales; Cladosporiaceae.
GUGUUGGGGAACCAGGACUUUUACUUUGAAAAAAUUAGAGUGUUCAAAGCAGGCCUUUGCUCGAAUACAUUAGCAUGGAAUAAUAGAAUAGGACGUGUGGUUCUAUUUUGUUGGUUUCUAGGACCGCCGUAAUGAUUAAUAGGGAUAGUCGGGGGCAUCAGUAUUCAAUCGUCAGAGGUGAAAUUCUUGGAUUGAUUGAAGACUAACUACUGCGAAAGCAUUUGCCAAGGAUGUUUUCAUUAAUCAGUGAACGAAAGUUAGGGGAUCGAAGACGAUCAGAUACCGUGGUAGUCUUAACCAUAAACUAUGCCGACUAGGGAUCGGACGGUGUUAGUAUUUUGACCCGUUCGGCACCUUACGAGAAAUCAAAGGUAGUGGAUAUUCUGGGGACGAGGACGGAAAG